ACCUUCGGUGUCCGAGUUGUAAUCUCUAGAAGUGUUUUCCGCGUUGGACCGCACACAAGUCUGUUGGAAUACAGCGGCAUAGUGGUGAAACCCCCGUAUAUGGUGCGGACGCCCAGCGCUUUGUGAUACACUUUCAAUGAGUCGAGUUGUUUGGGAAUGCAGCUCAAAUUGGGUGGUAAAUUCCAUCUAAAGCUAAAUAUUGGCGAGAGACCGAUAGCGAACAAGUACCGUGAGGGAAAGAUGAAAAGCACUUUGGAAAGAGAGUUAACAGUACGUGAAAUUGUUGGAAGGGAAACGCUUGAAGUCAGACUUGCUUGCCGGAGCUUGCUUCGGUUUGCAGGCCAGCAUCAGUUUUCCGGGGUGGAUAAUGACGGUUUGAAGGUAGCAGUCUCGGCUGUGUUAUAGCUUUCCGUUGGAUACGCCCUGGGGGACUGAGGAACGCAGCGUGCUUUUUGC
Molecule: ribosomal RNA, 456 nt
Filed under: Rhodotorula diobovata
Lineage: Eukaryota; Fungi; Basidiomycota; Microbotryomycetes; Sporidiobolales; Sporidiobolaceae
Description: eukaryotic LSU rRNA
Rfam family: Eukaryotic large subunit ribosomal RNA
Source: RNAcentral